Molecule: long non-coding RNA, 199 nt
Filed under: Glycine max (soybean)
Lineage: Eukaryota; Viridiplantae; Streptophyta; Magnoliopsida; Fabales; Fabaceae
Description: long non-coding RNA (GMAX_LNC000964)
Source: RNAcentral
UCGGUUGAUGCAUAUGAUGGUUGAGCAUUAUUUGCUGAUGUGGCUGCCAUAUGAGCUUGUGGAGGCUUUGGUCCAAGAAUUCCUUGCUGGCGAGGAGUGGACUGAUGUUGCCAAUUUGGCGUAGUUGGGUACGGACAUGGUGGCGUGGCCCAUGGUUGCCACGGUGCAGCCCAAGGUGGAACAGCCCACUGUUGUUGUU